RNAcentral lists this ribosomal RNA (231 nucleotides) under uncultured bacterium. RNAcentral describes it as "partial 16S ribosomal RNA". It matches the Rfam family "Bacterial small subunit ribosomal RNA", at positions 102 to 334 of the family's 1533-position model. The record is from RNAcentral.
CGACGGGUGAGUAAUACAUCGGAACGUGUCUUCUAGUGGGGGAUAACUGCCCGAAAGGGCAGCUAAUACCGCAUGAGACCUGAGGGUGAAAGCGGGGGAUCGUAAGACCUCGCGCUGGAAGAGCGGCCGAUGUCCGAUUAGCUAGUUGGUGAGGUAAAGGCUCACCAAGGCGACGAUCGGUAGCUGGUCUGAGAGGACGACCAGCCACACUGGGACUGAGACACGGCCCAG